Molecule: unclassified non-coding RNA, 314 nt
Filed under: plant metagenome
Description: partial contains 5.8S ribosomal RNA, internal transcribed spacer 2, and large subunit ribosomal RNA
Rfam family: 5.8S ribosomal RNA (bases 1-105)
Source: RNAcentral
GAAAUGCGAUAAUUAAUGUGAAUUGCAGAAUUCAGUGUAUCAUCGAGUCUUUGAACGCACAUUGCGCCCCCUGGUAUUCCGGGGGGCAUGCCUGUCCGAGCGUCAUUGCUGCCCUCAAGCACGGCUUGUGUGUUGGGCUUCCGUCCCUGGCAACGGGGACGGGCCCAAAAGGCAGUGGCGGCACCAUGUCUGGUCCUCGAGCGUAUGGGGCUUUGUCACCCGCUCCCGUAGGUCCAGCUGGCAGCUAGCCUCGCAACCAAUCUUUUUAACCAGGUUGACCUCGGAUCAGGUAGGGAUACCCGCUGAACUUAAGC